RNAcentral lists this ribosomal RNA (403 nucleotides) under uncultured bacterium. RNAcentral describes it as "partial 16S ribosomal RNA". It matches the Rfam family "Bacterial small subunit ribosomal RNA", at positions 30 to 526 of the family's 1533-position model. The record is from RNAcentral.
AUUGAACGCUGGCGGCAGGCCUAACACAUGCAAGUCGAGCGAGCGGCGGACGGGUGAGUAAUGUAUGGGGACUGCCCGAUAGGGGGGGAUAACUACUGGAAAAGGUUGCUAAUACCGCAUACUGUCGGAUAACCCAUAUGGGUUGAGCUAGUAGGUAAGUUAAUGGCUUACCUGGGCGACGAUCCCUAGCUGGUUUGAGAGGAUGAUCAGCCACACUGGGAUUGAGACACGGCCCAGCCUCCUACGGAGGCAGCAGUGGGGAAUAUUGCACAAUGGGCGAAAGCCUGAUGAAGCCAUGCGGCGUGUAUGAAGAAGGCCCUAGGGGUGUAAAGGACUUUGUUCAGGGAAGCGGUAACUGAAGAAUAAGCACCGGCUAACUACGUGCCAGCAGCCGCGGUAAUAC